This 349-nucleotide ribosomal RNA is filed under the name uncultured Tomentella. RNAcentral's name for it is "eukaryotic LSU rRNA". The stretch from base 294 to 349 matches the Rfam family "Eukaryotic large subunit ribosomal RNA", at positions 1 to 56 of the family's 3401-position model. The record is from RNAcentral. Lineage: Eukaryota; Fungi; Basidiomycota; Agaricomycetes; Thelephorales; Thelephoraceae.
GUGAGUCAUCGAAUCUUUGAACGCACCUUGCACCCUUUGGCAUUCCAAGGGUAUGCCUGUUUGAGUAUCAUGAAAUUCUCAACUCUCCUCAGAUUCCAUCUGUAGGGUGAGCUUGGACUUGGAGGUUUCUGCCGGUGUUUGCCGGCUCCUCUCGAAAUCAUUAGCUUUGAGUUGAUCUUGAUGGCUUGACCGGUGUGAUAAACAUCUACGCCGAUUCAUGCUGUCCUGAGCGACGACGUCGGAGACGCUCUGGCUUAUAACCGUCUUCACCGAAGGACAACACCCUGAACUUUUGAUCUCAAAUCAGGUAGGACUACCCGCUGAACUUAAGCAUAUCAAUAAGCGGAGG